This is a non-coding RNA of Cyanistes caeruleus (blue tit), 4106 nucleotides long. The record is from RefSeq and is a predicted model, not a curated record. NCBI's taxonomy places the organism in Eukaryota, Metazoa, Chordata, Aves, Passeriformes, Paridae.
GUAAUGUGACAGUCCUAAAGCAUUUGUGAGUGAAGAUAAACUAAGUCCAGCUCAACUGUAUUCCAUAAACAGCUCUUCUGAUAUACUCAUCUUUGUGUUGAUUCAUUUUUUCAGUUGGAAAAUCACAGGAGCUUAUUUGACUGCUCUGGGCUGUGCCCGGGGGAGUCACUUAGGUGGGAAUGGGACAGCCUCUAGCCAUAAACAUAUAAAAGGAAGAAAUGCAUGCCAUUUUUUUUGUUGGGUCUUAAUUAAUGAACUUUCUGCUCAGCUUCUGCUGAAUCCUAAGCACUGUAUUUAAAGUCUCAAAGUAACUUCUUUACUUUCAGUAAUUAAAUAUCUUUUACUAGUUCUUAUCUUCUGCUUUUUCCUUUGCCAUCCCAUAUAAAAUGUUUAAUGACAGUUAAAAGAAACAUAGGACAUGGGAUAUCUGUAGGUCAGGCAAAGACUAGCCUGCUUUUAGUGUUUGGUCCUUUCUGGAAAGAAAAAUCCUAUUGCUGCCUAUCCUUGUGUAGCCAAGCCAUUUGAAAAACUCACCAGCUGAACACAAACCAUGGCUGGGUGUUUUGUCUUCCUUAUCUUUUGUCUGUGCCUCAGUACCACCAGAGAAAGGAAGGAAGAGACAGAACAGCUUCUCACACUGACAUUGACAUAAUUUGGCACUUGCUGCAGAUUAAAAUGAAUAUGACAGGAUCUUUCUUUCUGAGACAGUAACAGGGAUCUGAAGUGCUGACUUCUGUCAAUAUGGCAGUGGCAAGCUCCUCUGCUUCUCCCUCCUGUGACUGCUGUUGCUAUGAAAAAAGCAAGAGGUACAGGCUUUACCAAUAUGCCAGUGCUUUAGGAUAAAAUGAAGAGAGGAAAAAAUAAUGUGAGGCAAUGCUAUCAAGAGUUCAUAACAAUACAACCAUGAAUUAUGCAGUUGCAUCUAUCCACUAUGUGCAAAUAGGAUACCAAAGCCUAAGAAUGAACAUGUAAUGCACAAGGCACAGCUUCCUGUGAUUGUAAACUGGUAUAAAAUUAUUAACUAACAGGGUUAUUCUGACUUAAUGUAAGAAUGUGUGAUGUACAAGUCCUCCUUUUCCCACUUAGUUCCGCCAUGAGGUAAUACCUGUUCUCAAACACACAUAAUAGAGUCUGAGAGGUUUCCCAAACUUGAGUCCAUUGUGAAUUCUCUGCUCUCUCCACUGGGCUCAAAGAGCUCUCUCAGAGGGCAAACUUUGUUCUUCCAGCUUGUUCUAGUCUGCAACUAGAACAGUGUUGUUCUAGGAGUGUGACUUCUGUUUCUUCCCAGCCCAGGCACAUUUUCUUGUUUUGCCUUUGAACUGUGGCAGAGGAACCCCCACGGGGAAGGGGGCACACAGACUUCCAGCAGAUCAGGUCAGCUUAGUCAACACAGGCUUCAUCAAAGCAAAAUUUACUCCAUGCUUGAAGCAAUUUUGAUUCUGUUUUGAAUCUAUUUGCUAAAGGAUAAAUAAUGUCAGAGUUUUGUGCUUGGGAUGAAAAUAGCAUGAGUCAUCAGGGAAACCCAGGAGGAAGUACCCAAAGUUUUCUAGCCUGGCAAACAGGGCUAGAAGCAGGAGCAGGUACAUUAAACUCUCAGUCCUUGUCUCUUGCUCCCAGUUACUUGGAUGCAGGGGAUUUCAUUACUCAGAUGUCUCUCCAAAAUGGAUCAGUUGAUCUUGUAAUCCCUUACAGUGAGUUUACUCAGCACUUUUAUGGGACUUGAAGCUCUCAGAUGUAGAGCCCUCCAGAAAUGCUGAGCCCUGCUGGAACUAGUAGAUCAUAUGUCAGCAGUGUACCCUGGCUGAAAGGAAGGCCAGUGGUAUCCUGGGCUGCAUUAGACAAAGUAUUGUCAGCAGGUCAGGGAGGUGAUCUUGCUCUUCUGCUCUGCACUUGUGAGGCCACACCUGGAGUGCUGUGUGCAGCUCUGGGCUUCACAGGACAGGAGAGACAGGGACCUCCUUGAGAGAGUCCAACAAAGCAGUGUGAAGGUGGUAAAGGGACAGGAGGAAAGACUGUGAGGAAAGACUGAGUGAGCUGGGGCUGUUCAUCCAGGAGAUGUCUCAGGGUUAUCUUAUCAAUUGUUAUAAAUACGUGAAGAGAGAAUGUAAAGAAAAUGAAACCAAACUCUUCUCAGUGGUGCUCAGUGUCAGUGAGCACAAACUGAAGCAAAGGGAGGACCUCUGAACAUCAGGAAGCAUUGUCUUUGAGGGUGACUGAGCAGAAGGAUUCAGCAUUGCAUCAUCUACCUCCUAAACAGGGAAGCUGCAACCACACAAGAAAAGCAAUUUGCAAAAGUACCAAAGAGAUCCAUCCUCACCUCUGUUCAGAGGACUCAGUAGCUAAGCUGCUUCUUUAUUUCUGGAAACUAGUUGUGCUAUCAGUUAUUGACAAUCUUCAUCUUGAUUGUUAAAUAAUUUCUAGCACAGAUUGGUUAUGCUUAAGGGGUGCUGCAAAGUCCCAUGCAGCAACUUUUUACAUCCCUGUUUGCUAGAAGCACCAGCAUAUCCUCCAAGAAAGCCUGCACUGAGCAUGCCCUAUUUCCUUUCUUUGCCUGUGCAUUUCUCCUGCUAUCACUGUUAGAAAAAAGAAUGUUGAGUUUAGUUAACCUUUAGGUCUGAAACUGUAUGGCUGCUUCUAUGCAUUGCAUUACCCUUGGUGUCAGGUUAGCAAAAGCCAAGAAGAAUCCAUUAUCACAUCUAAUACUUCCAUGAGUUUACUCACCAGUUUGCAUUGGCUGCAUGUGUAAAUGGAGGCCGGAUGUUGCUACACAAAUAUAUUAUAAUACUGCUAUAUAACUUUGUAUAAUACUGCAGGAUUUGCUCUGCAGGACUGACAUCCUGGGAACAAGGCAGGCAAUGGAGGUGAGAGAGCCCAGUAUGUCCUCUGACUUGUGUGUGAGUUCCUGCAGUGGGUGUAAGAGUGAGAUCUUUGAGUUUUUCCUUAGAGUGCUGUGCAUGGGCACUGAAGAUGGAGGGCAUGUGAACAGAAGACUUCCAGAAUGAUGCUGUGUGGUCCAGUAAGAGCAGCAGCUCCUGAACACUGUGCACUCGAGGAAGGCUUCAGCUGUUGGGCAACACUUGCUGCUCCAAGAACCACUGCGGUCUUCUACGGAGCAUAUGAUGGAUGGGUUCAGACGAGGAAACCGUGCUGUAGAGCAAACAAAAGUUGUACAUAUCUGGCAACAACUCCUGAGGCCUCUUUUCAACCAAGUAAACCAUAACUUCAUGCCAUAGGUUUUUCUCUAUCCAGCAGUUUGUCAGUUGAAGCAGAAGACAAUCCUUUUCACCAACACUUACUCAUGUACACAUGCUGAUCAGCUGAAGUGUUAAAGCUCAAGGUAAAAAGGAGAUCUGCAGCUUCACAUCCAGUUUUUGGGGGGUAAGAAGAGAGAUGAAUAAGCAGCAAAGGAUGCACAAACCCAGCUACCAUUCUGCCAUGUGCCAGCUUUCCAUGAGACAGGAACAUAACAUACCCUACCUCUGCUCAGAAGAGUGUGGGAAGCCUAAAAUUCCGUAUCCUAAUUUAGUCAGGCUGUCUAAUGAUAUGUACCUAACUAUCAGCAGCCUGAAUAGUUUUUUUAUGGCUGUCAUUGUCUUUGGGGAUUGCUUCACGUGUGAGUUUCUUACCAGAGCCUGAGGAAAGGAAGUAGCCAGGACCAGGUGAGAAGUGGUGUAGGGCUGGUGAUUAAUUUGUGGGUUCCUUUGUGACUCACAGUCAGAGCACCUCCCCAAUGGGCUGGGCUUGGGCAGCCUGGUUUACAGUCACUUGGAAGUGCUGAUUAUACCUGGUGAAAUAUUAGGUGUCUUUUUUAAAGCAUAAAAUGAAAGAAUUUCUGUUAUAAUGGUGAAUAAAGAGGCUGGGUGCAGCAAUGACCACCUAGUUGCAGAGGGACAGAGGCUGCAGGCAGGUUUGUAUCAUCCACAGAGUUGGAGUGAUGGUAGAAUUACUUGCCUGCAUAUUCACUGCUUUGAGGGAAGAAUAGGGUGGGAAAAAUAAAUGUAAUAUGAACCCUAAUAGGAAACUGAAGUGCAGGCUUGUGAUUGUGCUUAUUUCAUUGUGGUAAAAUAAAACAAGGACAUUUGAUGAUUUUUAAAAAUUUAUUUAUU